GUAAUCAUGUCUUCAGUAGGUGUACAUGCGGAACGAUCAUUA
RNAcentral lists this ribosomal RNA (42 nucleotides) under Inocybe erinaceomorpha. RNAcentral's name for it is "partial 18S ribosomal RNA". Lineage: Eukaryota; Fungi; Basidiomycota; Agaricomycetes; Agaricales; Inocybaceae. The record is from RNAcentral.